This is a long non-coding RNA of Canis lupus familiaris (dog), 1954 nucleotides long. RefSeq lists it as uncharacterized. The record is from RefSeq and is a predicted model, not a curated record. The transcript has 4 exons. Lineage: Eukaryota; Metazoa; Chordata; Mammalia; Carnivora; Canidae.
CCCUUCUAGACUACAAGCUCCACGAGGGCAAAGAACUUUCCAUCUUCCUCACCAGACCUCCAGAAACUGCCAUGAUGCAUUUUACAUAGAAAACACUCAACUAAUAAGGGUUAAAAAACUGUCCUUUCUACAUAUUUGCCCCCCAAAUUCUACUUCUAGGAAUUUUUCCUGAGAAAAGAAAGAACAAAUGUGCUCUAAACUCUUCACAAAGACAGGGGAAUCAAGAGUUGAGCAUGAAAACACUCUCCGAAAUGGUCUACCCAUUGGUUGGAUUCCGUUCUUAAAUUCUUGUUCCUGAGAAUCAAGAGCGUAGCUGGUCAUUCGCCGAUCUUUGCGCCUAUGUCUGGAAGGCAGACUUUUCACUUUUGCACUCAAGAGUUGACAUCUCCAGUUUGAUCAGAGCACACUUUCUCUCAGAUCCUGCAUGAGAUCUCACCACAGAGCUCACCAGACAGCUGCUGCAGAGAGAUGAAAGCUAGUGGAGGAGACGAAACCUCCUGGAUCUUCCUGGCCCUUGUGCAAAUGGAAGUGAAUUUUCAUGUGAUAAUAAACGUGCGGGGCAGCUUCUGUAGAUCUCAUUCGCGGCACACUCUCCCCAUAAACUGCCAGAGAUGGAGCUGAGAGAGAACCCCCAGGACUGAGAAAUACAAAGGCCAGAAAACCCAGACAUGGUAAAAAGGAAAGAAGGAGGUGCAGGUGGCUCAUUGGUGUCGUGCACGUAUUAGCUAAUAGGCUAGAAAACGCAGAGCCAGUCAAUAACAAGAUGGUCAAAAUAGAAAUGAAGUCGGGAUCAAAUCCACCUCCCCCAACUCACCAUCCUUCUAUUGCCAAGUCAUGUUACAUUAUGGCUUUUGUCUGUGAACUACAAUGUGGAGGGCGGCAGUUGGCAUUGUUUUUAAAUUGUAAUUUUAUGGGAGAGCUGAUUAAUCGAAGUCACAGACCGCAUGAAAUGUUUGGCUUCGAUAUGAAUCAACUGCGUGGGGAUAGUUUUGGGGUAUCAGAACUGAUAACAAGUAAAAGCAGGAAACAAUACCUGUGACUAUUAAAAAGAAAAAAAAAAGGAAAAGGAAAAUUGCAACUUCAGGUGUGUACUUAAAGAGUUCUGACUCUGCUUAUUUGCAAUCUAGCUAAAUCUUGACUGGAAAUUUAAAGAAAUCUUGAUUGGGAAUAACCACUACUUAAAAUAUUAUAAUUCAUGUUAGCAUUCAACAAGAUAAAUUAUCUUAAUCUGUUCAGGAUCUCUUAAAAACCUCAAAAUAUACUGUUUGUAACCUCAUGAUUUCAAAAGGGUCAAACAUACACUGUCGAAGGAAGAGAGAUUAACAAACAAACCUGAAAUUUUUCAUUAUGUGAGAAAAGAAACUAGUUCUUUCCUGAAAGUUAAGGAUGGACAAUGUUUGUUUUACCCCAAUUAAUUACAGGGUCAGCAUCAUCUUCACUUAAUGACAGUAUUUAGCAAAAAUAAUCUUAAAAUAUUAACUUAAAAGUUACUUUCAAGAAUGUAUUGCUUAAUCUAUAAAAUCACAGACACUUAUUUCCAUAAAGCAUUUAGGUCACUAUGACCUAUUGUUUUAUUUGAGAUAUUAGGGUAAUUUAGAUUCCUUUAUACCUCGAUCCAGUAAAUAUGUUUAUAAAUAUUAUCUUUAUGUGAGUCCAGGGAGCUAGAACAUGAGUUCUUGCCAUGAAAAGGGGGCUGGAGCAAAACCAAUCUAAAUAAAUUGAGGAUGAAUGGUUCCACUUAUAUGGUUAUCAGUUGUCUUCUUUCCAAGUGAGAUCUAAAAGAAUAUCCUGUUUUACUUCAAUGUUUAUCCUCAAAUAGUUUUGAUUACUUUCCUUUUUCCAUUGCUACAUUCACACUUCUGAUUUCGAUAUUAUGCAAAAUAAAUAAUUUGCUUCCACAUCAUUGUUCAAUCUUAGAAUUGUGAAUGACCUACCUGGAUAAUGAGUGGUUUUU